GAGGGUAUAGCUCAGUGGUAGAGUGCACGCCUAGUAUGCAUGAAGCCCUGGGUUCAAUCCGCAGUACCUCCA
Molecule: transfer RNA, 72 nt
Filed under: Camelus bactrianus (Bactrian camel)
Lineage: Eukaryota; Metazoa; Chordata; Mammalia; Artiodactyla; Camelidae
Also listed under: 2 other names
Rfam family: tRNA
About the family: Transfer RNA (tRNA) molecules are approximately 80 nucleotides in length.
Source: Rfam by way of RNAcentral